RNAcentral lists this long non-coding RNA (809 nucleotides) under Gossypium barbadense (sea-island cotton). RNAcentral describes it as "long non-coding RNA (GBAR_LNC002647)". The record is from RNAcentral. Lineage: Eukaryota; Viridiplantae; Streptophyta; Magnoliopsida; Malvales; Malvaceae.
AAAAAACACUUAACCCCACAACCCCAUUACACCCAAGCCCAGAUUUAAACGCUCAGACCCAUCUACACCGGAUGAUCCAAUAUCCUUGACCCAAGGAUACACGGGGCCCAAAAGGCCCAAAGUAGUAAACGGAUCAGGAAACCCUAGGGUUUCCUGAGAAGUUAGGCGCUGCGAAGGGGGAUUCUAAAUGCUUCGAGGUUCCAAAUGUCACGACUUUUCAGGUCCAACGGCCCAAUCGUCGCCUUCAUCAGUGCGCCGUGACUCCUCGAUUUCGCCACCAUGCAUCGCGCCACCAUCGGCGCGUGAAUCACGCCAGAAUUGUCAUACGCUACAAUCCAGCACUGGCCCCAUCAAUGCACAGUCAUUGGUGCUCGAACGAAAUCCUUGCGAUUCGCCUGCAAGAAAAGGAAAGAAAAUCACAACAGACAUGCGAAGCGAAUACGGAAAGAAAUCAGAGAUUUAUUUCCAAAACUUGCAGUGGUUUAUCGAGGCUAUAAAGCCUUCACCAGAGAGAUAUACCAAAAAUACUGUACACAGAAUAUUUUUGCAAUAAUACACCAGAGAUUUUUACAGGAAAUAGAGGUGAUAUAUCUUUGCUUUUAUUUUUUUCUCUUCUAAAUAACAUGCAAACAUUAUUAAAAUAGAUCAUGAUAGAGUUUACCGUUGAAAUCUCUUCGUGAAGUCGAAAUGUUUCGAAUUCUGGUCGCCGUACAAGACGGCGUUGACGAUGGCGCAUGGGCGCGUGAGCGCGUGCAAACCCUUGGACGAAGGUCUGGUGACACUCCGAGAGCCCCUCCCCAACUCUUUUU